RNA transcript from Cercocebus atys (sooty mangabey), 3135 nucleotides. It is a transcript of the gene named osteopetrosis associated transmembrane protein 1, with no coding region annotated. The record is from RefSeq and is a predicted model, not a curated record. The transcript is spliced from 7 exons. NCBI's taxonomy places the organism in Eukaryota, Metazoa, Chordata, Mammalia, Primates, Cercopithecidae.
CGGCUCUCGGCCUGCGCUCGCGGAAACCGGAAGCGGCGGCUGUCAGCGGUGCCGGUUGGGGGCGGAGAGGUGGUGGUGGGCGCCCUGGGGUGUGUGAGCCCCGUGAUGGAGCCGGGCCCGACAGCCGCGCGGCGGAGGUGUUCGUUGCCGCCGUGGCUGCCGCUGGGGCUGCUGCUGUGGUCGGGGCUGGCCCUGGGCGCGCUCCCCUUCGGCAGCAGUCCGCACCGGGUCUUCCACGACCUCCUGUCGGAGCAGCAGUUGUUGGAGGUGGAGGACUUGUCCCUGUCCCUGCUGCAGGGUGGAAGGCUGGGGCCUCUGUCGCUGCCCCCGGACCUGCCGGAUCUGGAUCCCGAGUGCCGGGAGCUCCUGCUGGACUUUGCCAACAGCAGCGCAGAGCUGACAGGGUGUCUGGUGCGCAGCGCCCGGCCCGUGCGCCUCUGUCAGACCUGCUACCCCCUCUUCCAACUGGUCGUCAACAAGAUGGACAACAUCAGCCGAGCCGUGGGGAAUACUUCAGAGAGUCAGAGUUGUGCCAGAAGUCUCUUAAUGGCAGAUAGAAUGCAAAUAGUUGUGAUUCUCUCAGAGUUUUUUAAUACCACAUGGCAGGAGGCAAAUUGUGCAAAUUGUUUAACGAACAACAGUGAAGAAUUAUCAAACAGCACAGUAUAUUUCCUUAAUCUGUUUAAUCACACCCUGACCUGCUUUGAGCAUAACCUUCAGGGGAAUGCACAUAGUCUUUUACAGACAAAAAAUUAUUCAGAAGUGUGCAAAAACUGUCGUGAAGCAUACAAAACUCUGAGUAGUCUGUACAGUGAAAUGCAAAAAAUGAAUGAACUUGAGAAUAAGGCUGAACCUGGAACACAUUUAUGCAUUGAUGUGGAAGAUGCAAUGAACAUCACCCGAAAACUUUGGAGUCGAACUUUCAACUGUUCAGUCCCUUGCAGUGACACAGUGCCUGUAAUUGCUGUUUCUGUGUUCAUUCUCUUUCUACCUGUUGUCUUCUACCUUAGUAGCUUUCUUCACUCAGAGCAAAAGAAACGCAAACUCAUUCUGCCCAAACGUCUCAAGUCCAGUACCAGUUUUGCAAACAUUCAAGAAAAUUCAAACUGAGACCUACAAAAUGGAGAGUUGACAUAUCACAUGAAUGAGUGGUGGAAGACACAACUUGAUUUCAGAAAGAAGAUAAACUGUGAUUUGAUAAGUCAAGUUCUUAAGAAAUACAAGGACUUCAGAUCCAUUUUUAAAUAAGAAUUUUCCAUUUUUCUUUCCUUUUCCACUUCUUUCUAACAGAUUUGGAUAUUUUUAAUUUCCAGGUGUAGCAAUGUUAUCUAUUUUAAUGUGUAUUUGUCACAAUAACAGAAGAUGCAAGAACAAUCAUUAUUUUAUUUUAUAGGCAUUUUAUCACUAUUCUAGACUUCUGGUAUUAAUAAGAAUAAUAUAAGUAUCUCAAGUAGAAACGUUUUUGAAAACUAACAUUUAAAAAUUAAUUGGUUACAGCAAGUACUUUGAAAAAGAAAUGUACUUGUCAGGAAGUAGCACGCCCAAAGAUUAAUUACUCCCCAUUGCAGUAUUAUUAUUAUAUAUAUAGUUAAUAUGUUGUACAUCACAAUAAUAUAUAAUUCAGUCUCUAGUUUCCCGAGUCAUUUUUGAAACCACUGAUUCCAAACCUCCCUAACAAUUUUUAGAAGUAGUAAGCCACAUUACAUUUAUCUUUGUAAAAAGAUUUAUGGUAGCUGGUUUCUUACUUGACUUUUAUAAAUAGUAUUUUACAUCUUAUUUUUUGCCUUUAUUUCAUAACUAAUUUAAAAAUCACUGGAUUGCUUUAUUAUAUUCAGGGCAAUAUGGAUUAUUUUUAUACCAAGGAUUUGCAUCGUGAAUUACAUUAAGUUAUUUGGCAAUUUAUAAUUUAUUACUACUUUAAAUCAAAUGUAGCAUUAUCACACUGUAUUUAAAUUGUCAUUUUUUAAAGGAAUAUUUUUCUCUUGAGAUAUGUAGAGGAUUUGGGAGCAGAGAGAAAGGAGGGGUAAAACCAGCUUAAGGUUCAGCGAGCAGACAGGGACCUGAGAGGAUGCUGACUGUAAGACUGUUGGACAGUGGUGUGUAUUGAGGGCAUGAAUUGGAAUGAUAGUCUCAUACAGAAAGCAGUGAGAUUAAGAUGAUCCUUAUUUUUUCUAAAUUUUUCAAUCAGAUGAAAGUGAUACGAUUGAAAUGAAAUCACGUAUUUCAUGCUCAGAAAUUCUAUUUUGGUAUGUUUGUAUUAGCCUUUAAAAAAAAACACUUCAUUUCAGAAUUGUUCACAAUUUUAUUUCUUAGGUUUUUAGAGUUCAGGAUUUCAUUUAUUAAUUUCUUCUUGCUUUUUUGGUGGAAAUAGGCUUUGUUGUAAACAUUAAGAAUGUAACAUCUCCUCUAUAUAGAAACAAGAGUUUUGUUAAAUAAUAAGAGAAUUUGAAUCCCUUCCUAUACUAUAAAAUGCUCUAUAGGGAGACGAAGUGUUUCUUUUUUCUUUUAUGUUUACCGUAUAUGUGGAGCGAAAGAUAAGGCUCUUGGAUGUGUAACAUACUCAAAAGCUGUUAUACUUUCUCUGAUCUGCUGUGAUCCACUGAAAAUGUGCUGGGGUUUGUUCUGCUGUCACUGUUCAUGCUGCUGGAACUUAGCACUGUCUUGAUUUGAAGCAUAUGAUUGAGAGCCAUUGGAAGCAACCUUCAUUAAUGCAGAUAAGUACCUCUAUUUUCUGAACUAGAAGAAACCUUAGAGGCCAUCUGAUCAUAGAGUCCCAGAACUGGAUGGAUCCCUAGAGACUACCUAAUCUGACUUUCUGUCCACUGCAUGGAUUCCUCUAAAAAGUGUGUCACUUAAUUCCCUACCUUAUUAACUAAAGAAGCAGAACAGCAUAGAGCUCUUUAUGUAUAACAGGCAUUCCUUGAUAAUCAACUCUAAAAUGGAGACUUGAGAUGCUUAAAUAUUGUACUACUGUGCUUAUUUUAUAAAGAUUUCAUAAAAUGAUAGUAUUGGUUAUUUUAAAAGGGCUUUGGCUUAUGCUGAAUUAUACAUGUGCACCAAAAUAUUAUAACUCUACUAAAUUUCCUUGUUCUAAACUAUUAUAUUAGCUAUAAUAAAUAUUAGUCAUACAUGUAA